UUGCAAACUCGAUCACUAGCUCUCCAUGAUGUUGCAGAAGCAAGGGGAACCAGGUUUGCUAAAGUAAUUGUGGGGAUAGUAAUGGCUUAGCCUCAGGGACUACUGAGGUAGCCCAUUCUUUCCUACUGCAGUG
Echinops telfairi (small Madagascar hedgehog) is the source of this 133-nucleotide small nucleolar RNA. NCBI's taxonomy places the organism in Eukaryota, Metazoa, Chordata, Mammalia, Afrosoricida, Tenrecidae. The record is from Ensembl.